Molecule: ribosomal RNA, 454 nt
Filed under: Catonella sp. canine oral taxon 158
Lineage: Bacteria; Bacillati; Bacillota; Clostridia; Lachnospirales; Lachnospiraceae
Description: bacterial SSU rRNA
Rfam family: Bacterial small subunit ribosomal RNA
Source: RNAcentral
GAGUUUGAUCAUGGCUCAGGAUGAACGCUGGCGGCGUGCCUAACACAUGCAAGUCGAACGGAGAACUUAAGUGGAAGUUUUCGGAUGGAAACUUUUGUUCUUAGUGGCGGACGGGUGAGUAACGCGUGGGCAACCUGCCUCAUACAGGGGGACAACAGACGGAAACGUCUGCUAAGACCGCAUACGUCUUUUUGGUCGCAUGACUGAGAAGGGAAAAGAGCAAUCUGGUAUGAGAUGGGCCCGCGUCUGAUUAGCUAGUUGGUAGGGUAACGGCUUACCAAGGCGACGAUCAGUAGCCGGACUGAGAGGUCGGACGGCCACAUUGGGACUGAGACACGGCCCAAACUCCUACGGGAGGCAGCAGUGGGGGAUAUUGCACAAUGGAGGAAACUCUGAUGCAGCGACGCCGCGUGAGUGAAGAAGUAUUUCGGUAUGUAAAGCUCUAUCAGCAGGG